RNAcentral lists this unclassified non-coding RNA (240 nucleotides) under Hevea brasiliensis (rubber tree). Lineage: Eukaryota; Viridiplantae; Streptophyta; Magnoliopsida; Malpighiales; Euphorbiaceae. The record is from RNAcentral.
GAUAAUUAUUUUUCAGCACUGCACUGUCCUCUUCAUUUUCCAGGGUUCCACUCUUGCUUGUUGCUGCUGUUUUUCUUGCAAGAACCUCUAGGGCCCACUUCUUCUUAUCACUCCUUGUAUUGUCACAUUUUACAGUUAUUUCCUCCUUGGUAGACAAUUUCAAACCACUUGAGGUAGAUGUAGACGGCCUAUCAGUGCCUUUGAUUGGAAGUACAUUUCUGGUAAUAUCAGCCUUAGUGG